RNAcentral lists this ribosomal RNA (321 nucleotides) under uncultured Bacteroidota bacterium. RNAcentral's name for it is "bacterial SSU rRNA". It matches the Rfam family "Bacterial small subunit ribosomal RNA", at positions 28 to 351 of the family's 1533-position model. Lineage: Bacteria; Pseudomonadati; Bacteroidota. The record is from RNAcentral.
GAUGAACGCUAGCGGGAGGCUUAACACAUGCAAGUCGAGGGAUAGUUUCAGCAAUGGGACGAAAACCGGCGCACGGGUGAGUAACGCGUAUGCAACCUGCCCUUAACCGGGGGAUAGCCCGUCGAAAGGCGGAUUAAUACCCCAUAAUAUCAUUAUUCUGCAUGGGAUGAUGAUUAAAGCUUCGGUGGUAAAGGAUGGGCAUGCGUGACAUUAGCUUGUUGGUAGGGUAACGGCCUACCAAGGCUACGAUGUCUAGGGGUUCUGAGAGGAAGGUCCCCCACACUGGUACUGAGACACGGACCAGACUCCUACGGGAGGCAG